This 220-nucleotide ribosomal RNA is filed under the name uncultured bacterium. RNAcentral describes it as "partial 16S ribosomal RNA". It matches the Rfam family "Bacterial small subunit ribosomal RNA", at positions 28 to 247 of the family's 1533-position model. The record is from RNAcentral.
GACGAACGCUGGCGGCGUGCUUAACACAUGCAAGUCGAGCGGUAAGGCCCUUUCGGGGGUACGACGAGCGGCGAACGGGUAGAGUAACACGUGGGUGACCUGCCCUCAGCUCUGGGAUAAGCCUGGGAAACCGGGUCUAAUACUGGAUAUGACUCCAUGACGCAUGUUGUGGGGUGGAAAGCCUUGUGCGGCUGAGGAUGGGCCCGCGGCCUAUCAGCUU